This 439-nucleotide ribosomal RNA is filed under the name uncultured bacterium. RNAcentral describes it as "bacterial SSU rRNA". It matches the Rfam family "Bacterial small subunit ribosomal RNA", at positions 958 to 1397 of the family's 1533-position model. The record is from RNAcentral.
AACGCGAAGAACCUUACCUGGCCUUGACAUCCUGGGAACCCUGCAGAGAUGCGGGGGUGCCUUCGGGAACCCAGAGACAGGUGCUGCAUGGCUGUCGUCAGCUCGUGUCGUGAGAUGUUGGGUUAAGUCCCGCAACGAGCGCAACCCUUGUCCUUAGUUGCCAGCAUUCAGUUGGGAACUCUAAGGAGACCGCCGGUGACAAACCGGAGGAAGGUGGGGAUGACGUCAAGUCAUCAUGGCCUUUAUGGCCAGGGCUACACACGUGCUACAAUGGUAGGAACAGAGGGAAGCCAACGCGCAAGCGGGAGCCAAUCCCAGAAAACCUAUCGUAGUCCGGAUUGGAGUCUGCAACUCGACUCCAUGAAGUUGGAAUCGCUAGUAAUCGCAGAUCAGCAUUGCUGCGGUGAAUACGUUCCCGGGCCUUGUACACACCGCAUAC